GCACUGCUGAGGAGUCCCACACUAGGACGAAACAGCCGUCCAUUGC
This 46-nucleotide non-coding RNA is filed under the name Schistosoma margrebowiei. The record is from RNAcentral. Lineage: Eukaryota; Metazoa; Platyhelminthes; Trematoda; Strigeidida; Schistosomatidae.